UGGGGAAUUUUGGACAAUGGGCGCAAGCCUGAUCCAGCCAUGCCGCGUGCAGGAUGAAGGCCUUCGGGUUGUAAACUGCUUUCGUACGGAACGAAAAGACUCCUUCUAAUAAAUGUGGUCCAUGACGGUACCGUAAGAAUAAGCACCGGCUAACUACGUGCCAGCAGCCGCGGUAAUACGUAGGGUGCGAGCGUUAAUCGGAAUCACUGGGCGUAAAGCGUGCGCAGGCGGUUAUAUAAGACAGAUGUGAAAUCCCCGGGCUCAACCUGGGAACUGCAUUUGUGACUGUAUAGCUAGAUUACAGCAGAGGGGGAUAGAAUGACGCGUGUAGCGGUGAAAUGCGUAGAUAUGCGGAGGAACACCGAUGGCGAAGGCAAUCCGCUGGGCCUGUACUGACGCUCAUGGACGAAAGCGUGGGAAGCAAACA
This 427-nucleotide ribosomal RNA is filed under the name uncultured bacterium. RNAcentral describes it as "bacterial SSU rRNA". It matches the Rfam family "Bacterial small subunit ribosomal RNA", at positions 355 to 774 of the family's 1533-position model. The record is from RNAcentral.